Molecule: transfer RNA, 67 nt
Filed under: Ceratosolen solmsi
Lineage: Eukaryota; Metazoa; Arthropoda; Insecta; Hymenoptera; Agaonidae
Description: tRNA-Asp
Source: RNAcentral
UAAAAAUUAGUUAAUUUAUAAUAUUAAUUUGUCAAAUUAGAGUAAUUAUGUUAAAUAAUAUUUUUAG